Molecule: ribosomal RNA, 447 nt
Filed under: Brevundimonas sp.
Lineage: Bacteria; Pseudomonadati; Pseudomonadota; Alphaproteobacteria; Caulobacterales; Caulobacteraceae
Description: bacterial SSU rRNA
Rfam family: Bacterial small subunit ribosomal RNA
Source: RNAcentral
ACGCUGGCGGCAGGCCUAACACAUGCAAGUCGAACGAACUCUUCGGAGUUAGUGGCGGACGGGUGAGUAACACGUGGGAACGUGCCUUUAGGUUCGGAAUAACUCAGGGAAACUUGUGCUAAUACCGAAUGUGCCCUUCGGGGGAAAGAUUUAUCGCCUUUAGAGCGGCCCGCGUCUGAUUAGCUAGUUGGUGAGGUAAAGGCUCACCAAGGCGACGAUCAGUAGCUGGUCUGAGAGGAUGAUCAGCCACAUUGGGACUGAGACACGGCCCAAACUCCUACGGGAGGCAGCAGUGGGGAAUCUUGCGCAAUGGGCGAAAGCCUGACGCAGCCAUGCCGCGUGAAUGAUGAAGGUCUUAGGAUUGUAAAAUUCUUUCACCGGGGACGAUAAUGACGGUACCCGGAGAAGAAGCCCCGGCUAACUUCGUGCCAGCAGCCGGGGUAAUAA